AUGAAGGCUGAGGAAGAUGUCUCCACACAAAUGGUGGCUGUCCACACCUCCUCCACAGCUCCUCCACAAACAGGAGGUAUGGACAGCUGCUUUACCAGGCGGCUGCCGAAGAGGGCGGGGGUGCAGGUCCUGGAGCUGGAUGGCGGAGGCCAUUUCCUGGGCCGCCUGGCGGCCAUCGUGGCUAAACAGGUACUGCUGGGCCGGAAGGUGGUGAUCCUACCCUGCGAAGGCAUCAACAUUUCUGGCAGUUUCUACAGAAACACGUUGAAGUACCUGGCUUUCCUCCGCAAGCGGAUGAACACAACCCGUCCCCAGGCCCUACGACUUCCGGCCCCCAGCCGCAUCUUCCGGCGGACUGUGCGAGGCAAGCUGCGUCACAAGCGAGGCCAGGCUGCCCUGGGCCGCCGCAGGGUGUUUGACGGCAUUCCGCCGCCCUACGACAAGAAAAAGCGGAUGGUGGUUCCUGCUGCCCUCAAGGUCGUGCGUCUGAAGCCUACAAGAAAGUUUGCCUAUCUGGGGCGCCUGGCUUACGAGGUUGGCUGGAAGUACCAGGCAGUGACAGCCAUCCUGGAGGAGAAGAGGAAAGAGAAAGCCAAGAUCCACUACCAGAGGAAGAAACAGCUCAGGAGGCUACGGAAACAGGCUGAGAAGAACGUGGAGAAGAAAAUUGAUAAAUACACACAGGUCCUCAAGACCCACGGACUCCUGGUCUGAGCCCAAAAUAAAGACUGUUAAUUCCUCAAAA
Molecule: non-coding RNA, 745 nt
Organism: Macaca mulatta (Rhesus monkey)
Lineage: Eukaryota; Metazoa; Chordata; Mammalia; Primates; Cercopithecidae
Source: RefSeq, a predicted model, not a curated record